Long non-coding RNA from Aethina tumida (small hive beetle), 339 nucleotides. RefSeq lists it as uncharacterized. Lineage: Eukaryota; Metazoa; Arthropoda; Insecta; Coleoptera; Nitidulidae. The record is from RefSeq and is a predicted model, not a curated record. The transcript has 2 exons.
UGCAUGAUGCCGACCCCCGACAAUGGGACCAGUAUAAAUAUGGUCGCGAGGUAAGAAUUGUCAUCAGUUUAUUGUAUACAGAACAAUCAACUACAUUCAAAAUGAUGAAAUUCUUGAUUCUUGCUUUUGUCGCCUUGAUGGUCCUCGUUGCUUCAGCCGUUGCUGAACCAGAACCACAACCAUCUGGAGUUCUUGGAGGAACUGUUUUGGCUGGACCAGCCGUUGUUGGAGGACUUGGUUUGGGUUUGGGUCACGGAGCUAUCCUUGGUUAAGAAAUUUGCUAUGAGAAUCUUGUAAAUGUGUAGUUUGUAGAAGAAUAAACUUUAGAAAAAUUGUAAA